RNAcentral lists this ribosomal RNA (46 nucleotides) under Mortierella alpina. Its description in RNAcentral is "partial 28S ribosomal RNA". RNAcentral also lists the same sequence under 1 other name. Lineage: Eukaryota; Fungi; Mortierellomycota; Mortierellomycetes; Mortierellales; Mortierellaceae. The record is from RNAcentral.
UCGAUCUCAAAUCAAGUAAGACUACCCGCUGAACUUAAGCAUAUCA